This 472-nucleotide ribosomal RNA is filed under the name uncultured bacterium. Its description in RNAcentral is "bacterial SSU rRNA". It matches the Rfam family "Bacterial small subunit ribosomal RNA", at positions 328 to 793 of the family's 1533-position model. The record is from RNAcentral.
GCAGACCACUCCUACGGGAGGCAGCAGGUGGGGAAUAUUGCACAAUGGGCGCAAGCCUGAUGCAGCCAUGCCGCGUGUAUGAAGAAGGCCUUCGGGUUGUAAAGUACUUCAGCAGUGAGGAAGGUGGGUAUGUUAAUAGCAUACUCAUUUGACGUUAGCUGCAGAAGAAGCACCGGCUAACUCCGUGCCAGCAGCCGCGGUAAUACGGAGGGUGCGAGCGUUAAUCGGAAUUACUGGGCGUAAAGCGCAUGCAGGUGGUUUGUUAAGUCAGAUGUGAAAGCCCGGGGCUCAACCUCGGAAUUGCAUUUGAAACUGGCAAACUAGAGUACUGUAGAGGGGGUAGAAUUUCAGGUGUAGCGGUGAAAUGCGUAGAGAUCUGAAGGAAUACCGGUGGCGAAGGCGGCCCCCUGGACAGAUACUGACACUCAGAUGCGAAAGCGUGGGGAGCAAACAGGAUUAGAUACCCUGGUAG